RNAcentral lists this ribosomal RNA (497 nucleotides) under uncultured bacterium. Its description in RNAcentral is "partial 16S ribosomal RNA". It matches the Rfam family "Bacterial small subunit ribosomal RNA", at positions 28 to 507 of the family's 1533-position model. The record is from RNAcentral.
GAUGAACGCUGGCGGCGUGCCUAAUACAUGCAAGUCGAGCGAACGGACGAGAAGCUUGCUUCUCUGAUGUUAGCGGCGGACGGGUGAGUAACACGUGGAUAACCUACCUAUAAGACUGGGAUAACUUCGUGAAACCGGAUCUAAUACCGGAUCAUAUUUUGAACCGCAUGGUUCAAAAGUGAAAGACGGUCUUGCUGUCACUUAUAGAUGGAUCCGCGCUGCAUUAGCUAGUUGGUAAGGUAACGGCUUACCAAGGCAACGAUGCAUAGCCGACCUGAGAGGGUGAUCGGCCACACUGGAACUGAGACACGGUCCAGACUCCUACGGGAGGCAGCAGUAGGGAAUCUUCCGCAAUGGGCGAAAGCCUGACGGAGCAACGCCGCGUGAGUGAUGAAGGUCUUCGGAUCGUAAAACUCUGUUAUUAGGGAAGAACAUAUGUGUAAGUAACUGUGCACAUCUUGACGGUACCUAAUCAGAAAGCCACGGCUAACUACGUG